This 225-nucleotide unclassified non-coding RNA is filed under the name soil metagenome. RNAcentral's name for it is "partial contains small subunit ribosomal RNA, internal transcribed spacer 1, and 5.8S ribosomal RNA". The record is from RNAcentral.
UCUCCGUUGGUGAACCAGCGGAGGGAUCAUUACUGAGUGUAAAAACUCCCAAACCCCUGUGAACAUACCAUCUGUUGCUUCGGCGGGAUCGCCCCGGGCGCCUUUGCGUGCCCCGGAUCCAGGCGCCCGCCGGAGGACUCCAAACUCAUGUUUUAUAUGUGGCAUUAUCUGAGUGGCUUAUAGCAAAAUAAAUCAAAACUUUCAACAAUGGAUCUCUUGGCUCUG